AGAGUUUGAUCCUGGCUCAGGACGAACGUUGGCGGCGUGCUUAACACAUGCAAGUCGAGCGGGGCUUAGUGAAAAGUUUACUUUUUACUUUGUCUAGCGGCGGACGGGUGAGUAACGCGUGGAUAAUCUGCCUGUAAGACAGGGAUAACGCCGGGAAACCGGUGCUAAUACCCGAUAACCUCUUUGGAUCGCAUGGUUUGAAGAGAAAAGGUGGCCUCUGGUUACAGAUGAAUCCGCGUCCUAUCAGCUAGUUGGUGGGGUAAAAGCCUACCAAGGCGAAGACGGGUAGCCGGCCUGAGAGGGUGAACGGCCACACUGGGACUGAGACACGGCCCAGACUCCUACGGGAGGCAGCAGUGAGGAAUUUUCCGCAAUGGGCGCAAGCCUGACGGAGCGACGCCGCGUGAGGGAUGACGGCCUUCGGGUUGUAAACCUCUUUUAUUGGGGACAAAAAAGAAGACGGUACAAUAAGAGGAAGCCACGGCUAACUACGUGCCAGCAGCCGCGGUAAUACGUAGGUGGCAAACGUUGUCCGGAAUUACUGGGCGUAAAGGGCGAGUAGGUGGUUUAUUAAGUCAGAAGUGAAAACUCCAGGCUCAACUUGGAGACUGCUUCUGAAACUGGUAGACUUGAGUGCAAGAGAGGGAAGUGGAAUUCCUAGUGUAGCGGUGAAAUGCGUAGAUAUUAGGAGGAACACCAGUGGCGAAGGCGACUUCCUGGCUUGUAACUGACACUGAGGCGCGAAAGCGUGGGGAUCAAACAGGAUUAGAUACCCUGGUAGUCCACGCCGUAAACGAUGAGUGCUAGGUGUCGGGGGUAUCGACCCCCUCGGUGCCACAGCUAACGCAAUAAGCACUCCGCCUGGGGAGUACGGUCGCAAGACUGAAACUCAAAGGAAUUGACGGGGGCCCGCACAAGCGGAGGAGCAUGUGGUUUAAUUCGAUGAUACGCGAGGAACCUUACCUGGGCUUGACAUCCCGUGACAGCUAUGGAAACAUAGUCUUUCGCCUUCGGGUGAACACGGAGACAGGUGGUGCAUGGUUGUCGUCAGCUCGUGUCGUGAGAUGUUGGGUUAAGUCCCGGGGGGGGGGGGACCCCUGUCCUUAGUUACCAGCACGUAAAGGUGGGAACUCUAGCAGAACUGCCGGUGACAAACCGGAGGAAGGUGGGGAUGACGUCAAAUCAUCACGCCCCUUACGACCAGGGCCACACACGUACUACAAUGCCCGGUACAGCGAGUUGCAAAGCCGCGAGGCAGAGCUAGAAUCUUUAAAACCGGGCCAAGUUCAGAUUGGAGGCUGCAAUUCGCCUCCGUGAAGCUGGAAUCGCUAGUAAACGCAGAUCAUCAUGCUGCGUUGAAUACGUUCUCGGGCCUUGUACACACCGCCCGUCACACCAUGGGAGCCAGUAACACCCGAAGCCGGUGAGCUAACUUAACGGAGGCAGCUGUCGAAGGUGGGAUUGGUGACUGGGGUGAAGUCGUAACAAGGUAACC
Molecule: ribosomal RNA, 1495 nt
Filed under: uncultured bacterium
Lineage: Bacteria
Description: 16S ribosomal RNA
Rfam family: Bacterial small subunit ribosomal RNA
Source: RNAcentral